RNAcentral lists this long non-coding RNA (680 nucleotides) under Trifolium pratense (red clover). RNAcentral describes it as "long non-coding RNA (TPRA_LNC014428)". Lineage: Eukaryota; Viridiplantae; Streptophyta; Magnoliopsida; Fabales; Fabaceae. The record is from RNAcentral.
CACCUUAGGAUUGAUCAGACGGUCUAUAAAAUUUUAAGGCAGGGGGAGACUUUCGCUGAUUAAACUCGGACAAUCUGUAUUCUUUCUUUUGUUCGACCCAUUCUAACUUCUCACCGUUCCGCCGCCUUGUGCUGCCGUUGUCCUCUCGGCGCUAGUAUUCAGUUCACCACGGCUAUUGUCCCCUUCGCCGUCAUCUUUUACAAUGGUAGAACUUGAUUGCUAUUUCCCUUAAUGCUCAGUUGAAAUGCAUAGGUUUGUUUGUUGAGUUUUGCUGCUGUUACUGGUUUUGUUUUAUUUUCUGUUUUGAUGUUCCUGUCAUGUUUAGCCUUCAAGAAUUGUGAUUCUCAGAUCUGGUCUAGAAUUAAAGAAGAAUUGAAAUAGGAAGACAGUGGUAACAGUGGUGAUCGGAACAACGACAAACGACGGCGGCGAGUAAAAAGCAUACAUAUUUUUCUCUUACACGUGGCAUGAUCACGAGCGUUCAAUCGAUCGGACAGACUUGAUUGGGCCAAAGGCAGCUGCCUUUCCCGCCCAAAAAUCACACAAUCCCUGUCAGAUAAUCCAAUUCUGAGUUAUUCGGCACCGCACGACAUACACAAGUGUCAGUAAUAAUCUUCAUCUUCUAUCUUCUCAUCCCUCUCAAAAUCCCAAAAACUAUGAAUCGUGUAUUAUCAUCAUCA